Molecule: transfer RNA, 111 nt
Filed under: Haloplanus aerogenes
Lineage: Archaea; Methanobacteriati; Methanobacteriota; Halobacteria; Halobacteriales; Haloferacaceae
Description: tRNA-Lys
Rfam family: tRNA
About the family: Transfer RNA (tRNA) molecules are approximately 80 nucleotides in length. Their secondary structure includes four short double-helical elements and three loops (D, anti-codon, and T loops).
Source: RNAcentral
GGGCCGGUAGCUCAGUCAGGCAGAGCGUCUGGCUUUUAACGUGGCCGCCCGGUUGAACGGGAGGUUGCGGAAGUGACCAGACGGUCGGGGGUUCAACUCCCUCCCGGCCCG